AAGCACUACAUACUAAUAGUUUAUUAACGGUCAAAUCAAUUUAAGACAUCAAUCAAACGUGAUAUAUUAAUUGGCAAUUAUACAAACUUUAAGAUUUAAUUGUAAAAAUUGAAAAAUUUUAUGGUUUUUUUGGCAACUGACCCUAAUUUGGGGUUUCUGUUGUAGCUUCUCCAGAGAUGAUAUGGCAGCUGACAUGGAAUUCUCAUUAAGUAUACUAACGGUUUAUUGACAGUCGAUUCAAUUUGAGACAUAAAUUAAACGUGAAUGUUUAAUUGAUAAUUAUGCAAAUU
Molecule: unclassified non-coding RNA, 290 nt
Filed under: Hevea brasiliensis (rubber tree)
Lineage: Eukaryota; Viridiplantae; Streptophyta; Magnoliopsida; Malpighiales; Euphorbiaceae
Source: RNAcentral